GCUUAACACAUGCAAGUCGAGCGAGAAUCGUUUUGCUGAAGGCUUCGGUCUGACGCAGAAUGAGGAAAGCGGCGAACGGGUGAGUAACGCGUGGGCAACCUGGCCUUAAGAAAAGGAUAGCCCCCGGAAACGGGGAGUAAUACUUUAUGAGAAUGAAAGAGGGCAUCCUACUUUCAUUCAAAGCGCAAGCGCUUAAGGAUGGGCCCGCGUAUCAUUAGCUAGUUGGUGAGAUAACAGCCCACCAAGGCAACGAUGAUUAGCCGGUCUGAGAGGGCGAACGGCCACAUUGGAACUGAGAGACGGUCCAAACUCCUACGGGAGGCAGCAGUGGGGAAUAUUGCGCAAUGGAGAAGAACUCUGACGCAGCAAUACCGCGUGAGCGAAGAAGGUCUUCGGAUCGUAAAGCUCUGUUAUCAGGGAAGAAGAAAAUGACGGUACCUGAUGAGCAAGUCCCGGCUAACUACGUGCCAGCCGCCGCGGUAA
This 483-nucleotide ribosomal RNA is filed under the name uncultured bacterium. RNAcentral describes it as "partial 16S ribosomal RNA". It matches the Rfam family "Bacterial small subunit ribosomal RNA", at positions 46 to 523 of the family's 1533-position model. The record is from RNAcentral.